RNAcentral lists this ribosomal RNA (535 nucleotides) under Paenibacillus sp. 7523-1. Its description in RNAcentral is "bacterial SSU rRNA". It matches the Rfam family "Bacterial small subunit ribosomal RNA", at positions 913 to 1448 of the family's 1533-position model. Lineage: Bacteria; Bacillati; Bacillota; Bacilli; Caryophanales; Paenibacillaceae. The record is from RNAcentral.
ACGGGGACCCGCACAAGCAGUGGAGUAUGUGGUUUAAUUCGAAGCAACGCGAAGAACCUUACCAGGUCUUGACAUCCCUCUGACCGUCCUAGAGAUAGGGCUUUCCUUCGGGACAGAGGAGACAGGUGGUGCAUGGUUGUCGUCAGCUCGUGUCGUGAGAUGUUGGGUUAAGUCCCGCAACGAGCGCAACCCUUGAUCUUAGUUGCCAGCACUUCGGGUGGGCACUCUAAGGUGACUGCCGGUGACAAACCGGAGGAAGGUGGGGAUGACGUCAAAUCAUCAUGCCCCUUAUGACCUGGGCUACACACGUACUACAAUGGCCGGUACAACGGGCUGUGAAGCCGCGAGGUGGAACGAAUCCUAAAAAGCCGGUCUCAGUUCGGAUUGCAGGCUGCAACUCGCCUGCAUGAAGUCGGAAUUGCUAGUAAUCGCGGAUCAGCAUGCCGCGGUGAAUACGUUCCCGGGUCUUGUACACACCGCCCGUCACACCACGAGAGUUUAUAACACCCGAAGUCGGUGGGGUAACCGCAAGGAG